CCGAUAUAGUUUCUGAUCAGAAAUCAGAAUAGAUCAUAGAAUAAUAUAACCUAACAAAAAAUUAAUGACCACGCUCAAUAAGUUCACAAAACACAAAUUUUUAAAAUGUGAAAAUAAUUGCAAUUAUUUUGAAAUAUAAUUCGAAGAUACUGCCACAACAUUAGACUGGAGGUCUACCGACAAAAACAUGGUUCUAAGAUAUAGAAUGAUAAAUGAUAUUGGGAGAACCGUAAACGUUAUACGUCAACCCUUUCGCAAAGUUACAGCUCUUUACGGAGAAUACAAUAUUUGAUGAUGUCUUCUGAUAAAAUUUUAACUUUAACAUAUCAGUAAGUGUGGUACAAGUAUUCAUUGCGUACAGAACAAAAUUUAUCCCCA
This is a long non-coding RNA of Chrysoperla carnea, 378 nucleotides long. RefSeq lists it as uncharacterized. The transcript has 3 exons. The record is from RefSeq and is a predicted model, not a curated record. Lineage: Eukaryota; Metazoa; Arthropoda; Insecta; Neuroptera; Chrysopidae.